GGCCCGUUGGUCAAGAGGUUAAGACACCGCCCUUUCACGGCGGUAACAUGGGUUCGAGUCCCGUACGGGUCACCA
Molecule: transfer RNA, 75 nt
Filed under: Oscillospiraceae bacterium
Lineage: Bacteria; Bacillati; Bacillota; Clostridia; Eubacteriales; Oscillospiraceae
Description: tRNA-Glu
Rfam family: tRNA
About the family: Transfer RNA (tRNA) molecules are approximately 80 nucleotides in length.
Source: RNAcentral